AUUGAACGCUGGCGGCAUGCUUUACACAUGCAAGUCGAACGGUAACAGCACUUCGGUGGCUGACGAGUGGCGCACGGGUGAGUAAUACAUCGGAACGUGCCUAGUAGUGGGGGAUAACUACUCGAAAGAGUAGCUAAUACCGCAUGAGAUCUAAGGAUGAAAGCAGGGGACCUUCGGGCCUUGCGCUACUAGAGCGGCUGAUGGCAGAUUAGGUAGUUGGUGGGAUAAAAGCUUACCAAGCCGACGAUCUGUAGCUGGUCUGAGAGGACGACCAGCCACACUGGGACUGAGACACGGCCCAGACUCCUACGGGAAGCAGCAGUGGGGAAUUUUGGACAAAGGGCGCAAGCCUGAUCCAGCAAUGCCGCGUGCAGGAUGAAGGCCUUCGGGUUGUAAACUGCUUUUGUACGGAACGAAAAGCCCUCUUCUAAUACAGGAGGGUCAUGACGGUACCGGAAGAAUAAGCACCGGCUAACUACGUG
This 482-nucleotide ribosomal RNA is filed under the name uncultured bacterium. RNAcentral's name for it is "partial 16S ribosomal RNA". It matches the Rfam family "Bacterial small subunit ribosomal RNA", at positions 30 to 507 of the family's 1533-position model. The record is from RNAcentral.